GAACGCACAUUGCGCCCCCUGGCAUUCCGGGGGGCAUGCCUGUCCGAGCGUCAUUUCUGCCCUCAAGCACGGCUUGUGUGUUGGGCGUGGUCCCCCCUGGGGACCUGCCUGAAAGGCAGUGGCGACGCCCGCCUAGGUCCUCGAGCGUAUGGGGCUUUGUCACCCGCUCGGGAAGGAUCUACGGGUGUUGGUCUUCCAUAAUUUUUCCACGGUUGACCUCGGAUCAGGUAGGAGUUACCCGCUGAACUUAAG
RNAcentral lists this unclassified non-coding RNA (252 nucleotides) under Talaromyces solicola. RNAcentral describes it as "sequence contains 5.8S rRNA gene". The stretch from base 1 to 53 matches the Rfam family "5.8S ribosomal RNA", at positions 102 to 154 of the family's 154-position model. Lineage: Eukaryota; Fungi; Ascomycota; Eurotiomycetes; Eurotiales; Trichocomaceae. The record is from RNAcentral.